UACGUAGGUGGCAAGCGUUGUCCGGAAUUACUGGGUGUAAAGCGCGUGUAGGCGGGAGGCCAAGUCUGCUGUGAAAUCGCUCGGCUCAACUGGGCGGGGUCGGUGGAAACUGGUCACCUGGAGGACGGUAGAGGCGAGUGGAAUUCCCGGUGUAGUGGUGAAAUGCGUAGAGAUCGGGAGGAACACCGGUGGCGAAGGCGGGUCUCUGGGCAAUUCCUGACGCUGAGGCGCGAAAGCGUGGGGAGCAAACGGG
This 253-nucleotide ribosomal RNA is filed under the name uncultured bacterium. RNAcentral describes it as "partial 16S ribosomal RNA". It matches the Rfam family "Bacterial small subunit ribosomal RNA", at positions 524 to 776 of the family's 1533-position model. The record is from RNAcentral.